GCUGGCGUAGCUCAGUUGGCAGAGCAGCUGAUUUGUAAUCAGCAGGUCGUCGGUUCGAAUCCGACCGCCAGCUCCA
This 76-nucleotide transfer RNA is filed under the name Thiocystis violascens DSM 198. Its description in RNAcentral is "tRNA-Thr (TGT) (tRNA-Thr-TGT-1-1)". It matches the Rfam family "tRNA". Rfam says of the family: Transfer RNA (tRNA) molecules are approximately 80 nucleotides in length. The record is from RNAcentral. Lineage: Bacteria; Pseudomonadati; Pseudomonadota; Gammaproteobacteria; Chromatiales; Chromatiaceae.